UCUUUAUGGCAAAUGUGAGAUGCAGUGUAUGGAAUGUCAGAUUUCUAGUAUGAGAAAUUAAUGAUUUAAGUCCUUCUUAAAUGAGGCCAUUUACCCAUAGAGGGUGCCAGGCCCGUAUAACGUUAAUGAUUACUAGAUGACAUUUCCAAAGAGUCGUGUUGCUUGAUAGUGCAGCACUAAGUGGGUGGUAAACUCCAUCUAAAACUAAAUAUAACCAUGAGACCGAUAGUAAACAAGUACCGUGAGGGAAAGUUGAAAAGAACUCUGAAUAGAGAGUUAAAUAGUACGUGAAACUGCUUAGAGGUUAAGCCCGAUGAACCUGAAUAUCCAUUAUAGAAAAUUCAUCAUUAUGAUUUUAAUAUUAAUAAUAUUAUAAUAAUGGUGUGCAUUUUUUCUAUAACGGACAUUGUAAUCUAUUAACAUAAAUAUAUUUAUCAUAAGAUCAAGAACCGUAAGUUUAUUCGAAUUAUUUUGCUUGCAAUUUAACAUAGAAUAAAUACUUCUUGAUUGGAUAAAGUGUUGAUAGAUUUAUUGUAUAUAGUGCUUAAAUAAUUGUAUUUUAUAAUAGCAUAUUAAUCAUUGAUUUUUAUGUUUAUUAUAUGCACUUAUAUGAUUAACAAUGCGAAAGAUUCAGGAUACCUUCGGGACCCGUCUUGAAACACGGACCAAGGAGUCUAACAUAUUUGCAAGUUAUUGGGUAUCAAAACCUAAUAGCGAAAUUAACAUAACUUUAAUGGGAUUAGUUUUUAGAUUAUUUAUAGUCUAUUAAUUCAAUCCCGGGGCGUUCUAUAUAGUUAUGUAUAAUAAUAUUUAUAUUAUUUAUACCUCUAACUAGAGCGUACCUUGAGCAUAUAUGCUGUGACCCGAAAGAUGGUGAACUAUACUUGAUCAGGUUGAAGUCAGGGGAAACCCUGAUGGAAGACCGAAACAGUUCUGACGUGCAAAUCGAUUGUCA
Molecule: ribosomal RNA, 955 nt
Filed under: Sarcophaga siciliensis
Lineage: Eukaryota; Metazoa; Arthropoda; Insecta; Diptera; Sarcophagidae
Description: eukaryotic LSU rRNA
Rfam family: Eukaryotic large subunit ribosomal RNA
Source: RNAcentral